This 2901-nucleotide ribosomal RNA is filed under the name Proteus mirabilis. RNAcentral describes it as "bacterial LSU rRNA". It matches the Rfam family "Bacterial large subunit ribosomal RNA". The record is from RNAcentral. Lineage: Bacteria; Pseudomonadati; Pseudomonadota; Gammaproteobacteria; Enterobacterales; Morganellaceae.
UUAAGCGAAUAAGCGUACACGGUGGAUGCCUAGGCAAUCAGAGGCGAUGAAGGACGUGCUAAUCUGCGAAAAGCGUCGGUAAGGUGAUAUGAACCGUUAUACCCGACGAUAUCCGAAUGGGGAAACCCAGUAUCCAAUGGAUACUAUCAUUAACUGAAUCCAUAGGUUAAUGAGGCGAACCGGGAGAACUGAAACAUCUCAGUACCCCGAGGAAAAGAAAUCAACCGAGAUUCCCCUAGUAGCGGCGAGCGAACGGGGAGCAGCCCAGAGUCUUAAUCAAUAGCAGUGUCAGGAGAACGGUCUGGAAAGUCCGGCAGUAAAGGGUGAUAGCCCCGUAUCUGAAGAUGUUGUUAUUGUGAACUCGACGAGUAGGGCGGGACACGUGUUAUCCUGUCUGAAUAUGGGGGGACCAUCCUCCAAGGCUAAAUACUCCUGAUUGACCGAUAGUGAACCAGUACCGUGAGGGAAAGGCGAAAAGAACCCCGGCGAGGGGAGUGAAAAAGAACCUGAAACCGUGUACGUACAAGCAGUAGGAGCCUCUUUAUGGGGUGACUGCGUACCUUUUGUAUAAUGGGUCAGCGACUUAUAUUCUGUAGCAAGGUUAACCGUAUAGGGGAGCCGUAGGGAAACCGAGUCUUAACUGGGCGAAUGAGUUGCAGGGUAUAGACCCGAAACCCGGUGAUCUAUCCAUGGGCAGGUUGAAGGUUGGGUAACACUAACUGGAGGACCGAACCGACUAAUGUUGAAAAAUUAGCGGAUGACUUGUGGAUGGGGGUGAAAGGCCAAUCAAACCGGGAGAUAGCUGGUUCUCCCCGAAAGCUAUUUAGGUAGCGCCUCGUGAACUCAUCUUCGGGGGUAGAGCACUGUUUCGACUAGGGGGUCAUCCCGACUUACCAACUCGAUGCAAACUGCGAAUACCGAAGAAUGUUAUCACGGGAGACACACGGCGGGUGCUAACGUCCGUCGUGAAGAGGGAAACAACCCAGACCGCCAGCUAAGGUCCCAAAGUCAUGGUUAAGUGGGAAACGAAGUGGGAAGGCUCAGACAGCCAGGAUGUUGGCUUAGAAGCAGCCAUCAUUUAAAGAAAGCGUAAUAGCUCACUGGUCGAGUCGGCCCGCGCGGAAGAUGUAACGGGGCUAAACCAUGCACCGAAGCUGCGGCAGCGACACAUAGUGUUGUUGGGUAGGGGAGCGUUCUGUAAGCCUGCGAAGGUGUACUGUGAGGUAUGCUGGAGGUAUCAGAAGUGCGAAUGCUGACAUAAGUAACGAUAAUGCGGGUGAAAAACCCGCACGCCGGAAGACCAAGGGUUCCUGUCCAACGUUAAUCGGGGCAGGGUGAGUCGACCCCUAAGGCGAGGCUGAAAAGCGUAGUCGAUGGGAAACGGGUUAAUAUUCCCGUACUGGUGGUAACUGCGAUGGGGGAACGGAGAAGGCUAGGUUGUCCGGGCGACGGUCGUCCCGGUUCAAGCAGGUAGGCAGAGUGAUUAGGCAAAUCCGGUCACUUAAUGCUGAGAUGUGAUGACGAACCACUAAGGUGGUGAAGCAAUUGAUGCCCCGCUUCCAGGAAAAGCCUCUAAGCUUCAGGUUACCAACAAUCGUACCCCAAACCGACACAGGUGGUCAGGUAGAGAAUACUCAGGCGCUUGAGAGAACUCGGGUGAAGGAACUAGGCAAAAUGGUGCCGUAACUUCGGGAGAAGGCACGCUGGCGGUAGGUAAAGUCCCUUGCGGACGGCGCUGAAGCCAGUCGAAGAUACCAGCUGGCUGCAACUGUUUAUUAAAAACACAGCACUGUGCAAACACGAAAGUGGACGUAUACGGUGUGACGCCUGCCCGGUGCUGGAAGGUUAAUUGAUGGGGUCAGCCGUAAGGCGAAGCUCCUGAUCGAAGCCCCAGUAAACGGCGGCCGUAACUAUAACGGUCCUAAGGUAGCGAAAUUCCUUGUCGGGUAAGUUCCGACCUGCACGAAUGGCGUAAUGAUGGCCAGGCUGUCUCCACCCGAGACUCAGUGAAAUUGAACUCGCUGUGAAGAUGCAGUGUACCCGCGGCAAGACGGAAAGACCCCGUGAACCUUUACUAUAGCUUGACACUGAACAUUGAGCCUUGAUGUGUAGGAUAGGUGGGAGGCUUUGAAGUGUGGACGCCAGUCUGCAUGGAGCCAACCUUGAAAUACCACCCUUUAACGUUUGAUGUUCUAACCUAGGCCCAUAAACUGGGUCGGGGACCGUGUCUGGUGGGUAGUUUGACUGGGGCGGUCUCCUCCUAAAGAGUAACGGAGGAGCACGAAGGUUGGCUAAGCAUGGUCGGACAUCAUGCGGUUAGUGCAAAGGCAUAAGCCAGCUUGACUGCGAGAGUGACGGCUCGAGCAGGUACGAAAGUAGGUCUUAGUGAUCCGGUGGUUCUGAAUGGAAGGGCCAUCGCUCAACGGAUAAAAGGUACUCCGGGGAUAACAGGCUGAUACCGCCCAAGAGUUCAUAUCGACGGCGGUGUUUGGCACCUCGAUGUCGGCUCAUCACAUCCUGGGGCUGAAGUAGGUCCCAAGGGUAUGGCUGUUCGCCAUUUAAAGUGGUACGCGAGCUGGGUUUAGAACGUCGUGAGACAGUUCGGUCCCUAUCUGCCGUGGGCGUUGGAAGAUUGAGAGGGGUUGCUCCUAGUACGAGAGGACCGGAGUGAACGCACCACUGGUGUUCGGGUUGUCAUGCCAAUGGCAUUGCCCGGUAGCUAAGUGCGGAAGAGAUAACCGCUGAAAGCAUCUAAGCGGGAAACUUGCCUCGAGAUGAGUCUUCCCUGUCGCUUUAAGCGACCUAAAGGAACGUUUAAGACUAAGACGUUGAUAGGCUGGGUGUGUAAGCGUAGCGAUACGUUGAGCUAACCAGUACUAAUGAACCGUGAGGCUUAACCUG